GUAGGUGGCAAGCGUUGUCCGGAAUUAUUGGGCGUAAAGCGCGCGCAGGCGGUUCUUUAAGUCUGAUGUGAAGGCCCACGGCUCAACCGUGGAGGGUCAUUGGAAACUGGAGAACUUGAGUACAGAAGAGGAAAGCGGAGUUCCACGUGUAGCGGUGAAAUGCGUAGAGAUGUGGAGGAACACCAGUGGCGAAGGCGGCUUUCUGGUCUGUAACUGACGCUGAGGCGCGAAAGCGUGGGGAGCAAACAGGGAUUAGAUACCCUGGUAGUCCACGCCGUAAACGAUGAGUGCUAAGUGUUAGGGGGGUUUCCGCCCCCUUAGUGCUGCAGCUAACGCAUUAAGCACUCCGCCUGGGGAGUACGGCCGCAAGGCUG
RNAcentral lists this ribosomal RNA (374 nucleotides) under uncultured organism. Its description in RNAcentral is "partial 16S ribosomal RNA". It matches the Rfam family "Bacterial small subunit ribosomal RNA", at positions 527 to 896 of the family's 1533-position model. The record is from RNAcentral.